GAUGAAGAACGUAGCGAAAUGCGAUAAGUAAUGUGAAUUGCAGAAUUCAGUGAAUCAUCGAAUCUUUGAACGCACAUUGCGCCCCUUGGUAUUCCGAGGGGCAUGCCUGUUCGAGCGUCAUUAUAACCCCUCAAGCUCAGCUUGGUGUUGGGGCCUGCUGCACUGGCAGCCCUUAAAAUCAGUGGCGGCGCCAUCUGGCUCUCAGCGUAGUAAUUCUUCUCGCUAUGGAGUCCUGGUGGAUGCUUGCCAUCAACCCCCAAUUUUUCUAUGGUUGACCUCGGAUCAGGUAGGGAUACCCGCUGAACUUAAGCAUAUCAAUAAGCGGAGGA
RNAcentral lists this unclassified non-coding RNA (329 nucleotides) under soil metagenome. Its description in RNAcentral is "partial contains 5.8S ribosomal RNA, internal transcribed spacer 2, and large subunit ribosomal RNA". The stretch from base 1 to 120 matches the Rfam family "5.8S ribosomal RNA", at positions 35 to 154 of the family's 154-position model. The record is from RNAcentral.